This 226-nucleotide long non-coding RNA is filed under the name Durio zibethinus. RNAcentral describes it as "long non-coding RNA (DZIB_LNC002220)". Lineage: Eukaryota; Viridiplantae; Streptophyta; Magnoliopsida; Malvales; Malvaceae. The record is from RNAcentral.
UCAUGCUUUUAUUGUGUUAGAUGCUUUGUUAAGGUUUUUCAGCAUUCAUGUUUUUAUACCAUUUUUUUUAUAUUUAUUGCCUUUUUUUUGCUAUUAUUGGACGCUAUUUUUUUAUAGUGUAUUUUUUAUUUUAUUAUUAUUAUUAGAUUGUUGUCAUUUUGUCAUUUUUUAUCUUUUUAUAUUUUAGUUUUUCAAGUAGUUAAUUAUCUUUUGAUCUUAAUUGUUG